RNAcentral lists this unclassified non-coding RNA (222 nucleotides) under Entomortierella beljakovae. Its description in RNAcentral is "Mortierella beljakovae partial internal transcribed spacer region". The stretch from base 1 to 46 matches the Rfam family "Eukaryotic small subunit ribosomal RNA", at positions 1786 to 1831 of the family's 1831-position model. Lineage: Eukaryota; Fungi; Mortierellomycota; Mortierellomycetes; Mortierellales; Mortierellaceae. RNAcentral also lists the same sequence under 2 other names. The record is from RNAcentral.
AAGUCGUAACAAGGUUUCCGUAGGUGAACCUGCGGAAGGAUCAUUCAUAAUAAAAGUGUUUAUGGCACUUUUCAAACAAAUCCAUAUCCACCUUGUGUGCAAUGUUUUUUUUUUUUAUAAUUGAACACCUUUCUUUAAUUGACAAUUGUAUCUGAAGAUCAGUAUUAUUAUGAAUUAACUUAAUUCAAAAUAUAACUUUCAACAACGGAUCUCUUGGCUCUC